Non-coding RNA from Gossypium raimondii (Peruvian cotton), 144 nucleotides. The record is from Rfam. NCBI's taxonomy places the organism in Eukaryota, Viridiplantae, Streptophyta, Magnoliopsida, Malvales, Malvaceae.
UAUUAAAAUUUCAUCCAUUGCUAUUGUUAAUAACUAGCAUGACUAAUAGAAUAACCAAACAGUGACACCUGGUGUGACACGUGUACCUCAUGCUAACAUACAGGGACCAAUUUCUAACAGUAGAAAUGGAUGAAAUUUUUAACA